RNAcentral lists this ribosomal RNA (482 nucleotides) under Penicillium spinulosum. RNAcentral describes it as "eukaryotic LSU rRNA". The stretch from base 120 to 273 matches the Rfam family "5.8S ribosomal RNA". The record is from RNAcentral. Lineage: Eukaryota; Fungi; Ascomycota; Eurotiomycetes; Eurotiales; Aspergillaceae.
GCUUCGGUGCGCCCGCCUCACGGCCGCCGGGGGGCUUCUGCCCCCGGGUCCGCGCGCACCGGAGACACCAUUGAACUCUGUCUGAAGAUUGCAGUCUGAGCAUAAACUAAAUAAGUUAAAACUUUCAACAACGGAUCUCUUGGUUCCGGCAUCGAUGAAGAACGCAGCGAAAUGCGAUAACUAAUGUGAAUUGCAGAAUUCAGUGAAUCAUCGAGUCUUUGAACGCACAUUGCGCCCCCUGGUAUUCCGGGGGGCAUGCCUGUCCGAGCGUCAUUGCUGCCCUCAAGCACGGCUUGUGUGUUGGGCUCCGUCCCCCCGGGGACGGGUCCGAAAGGCAGCGGCGGCACCGAGUCCGGUCCUCGAGCGUAUGGGGCUUUGUCACCCGCUCUGUAGGCCCGGCCGGCGCCAGCCGACAACCAAUCAUCCUUUUUCAGGUUGACCUCGGAUCAGGUAGGGAUACCCGCUGAACUUAAGCAUAUCAA